Solanum tuberosum (potato) is the source of this 974-nucleotide long non-coding RNA. RefSeq lists it as uncharacterized. The record is from RefSeq and is a predicted model, not a curated record. The transcript is spliced from 4 exons. Lineage: Eukaryota; Viridiplantae; Streptophyta; Magnoliopsida; Solanales; Solanaceae.
GAGAUUUCUGAGUUGUCAAAGAUCAAUGGAUUGUUCACCCAAGGUGCUUGAUGUUAUUCAUGAGCUAUCAUGUUUUGAUUAUUCCGUUGUUUUAGUCCUUUUUGUGCUGCAACAACGAAAUAUUUGGGAGCAAAUGAGCAAAGACUUCUUCUUCACUUGGUGACCAAUGACCAUAAUUAGCUAUUAUCAUCUUCCACACAGUAAAGAUGCAAGAUAUAUAGAUGCGAGAAACACAUGGCUAGGUGUUAUGGGGUGGAGCUUUGUUGAUUCAAGCUAAACUAAUAGAAAGAAGAAGGAAAAGGGGAUCCUACAGGAACGACCAUGGUAUCACAAAGUUAGUAAGCAAUUCCUCUUUGUUCCUUCAAAAAGGAGGAUGACAGGAAGGAUUGUGGAGGUUCCUCUUUGUAGUGAAAUUCUAAGCUCUAUUGCAGUUUGGAUGCCUCCUUUUGACAAAUCUAUAAUCUUAAUUUCCGUUAAGAUUAAGCUUCUAUAUUUGUGGCAAGUAUCCAUGUUUGAAGACGUUGAUGAUUUGAGAUAAUUUGAUCACAUUUGUAACCUAGUGAUAUAAAUGGUACGCGCCUCAACGAGCUUCUCUUUUCUAUCUUUAUACAUAUUUACGCUAGACUAUACAAAACUCCAUGGACGUAAAUAAUGGUUGCAUUGGUAUUAAUCUACAAAGUGUAGUCAUCUAUGAAGCGAGUACUUAAAUAUCGAUGGAAAACAAAAAAAACAUUUCUUUUUUCUCUACUUGCUUUCAUAUGAGAAAAUAAAGAGCAAAGAUUAAGAUAUAGUAGGUUGAAUAACACAGUUUCUAUUCAGAUAAUUUUGUUGAGUCCUCACAUAUCUACUGUGGGAGUUUUUAUGUUAUAGUUAUGUUUAUGUCCUUAUUGGACAAUUGUAUGUUUGUACCUUAUGAUUUCAUUGUUUAGCGUAUUGCUGUGUACCAAUUAACUUUUUCUCUUUCCGGAAUACAA